GUGCUUGCUUCGGCAGCACGUAUACUAAAAUUGGAAUGAUACAGAGGAGAUUAGCAUGGCCCCUGUGCAAGGAUGGCAUGCAAAUUCAUGAAGUCUUCCAUAUUUAA
This 107-nucleotide small nuclear RNA is filed under the name Castor canadensis (American beaver). Lineage: Eukaryota; Metazoa; Chordata; Mammalia; Rodentia; Castoridae. The record is from RNAcentral.